GUUAUUGUGGUAGGCGACACGGGGCGCUGCGGAAGAUCACGGGAUGUGACGUCCUGACGAGGCAGGGCUAAGACAGGAAAAGACAGUGCGAGCGCGUAUAUAAAGAAUUGUAACGACGCAAUAAACGCCAUUUGCCGCAUCCUCCCUAGGGAGUCAGUGUGGUGUGGCCCAGGGGCGGGCGGGGUUGCGGGCUCCUGACCUCACCCUAACUCUGGGUAUUGUUGCGACGGCAACAAAGUGGUGACCCCGACGUGAUUGGGUGAGGGUAGUCGCCGGGGCGACGGGGGUGGCGCCAGACAGACGAUGGAAGCGGUGAUUAAGGUUCCGUAAGGAGGAAAUACGUUCUUGUGACCGGCUGAUAUCAUGAGAGCAGCGUCGCGGGAAAGAGAAUGAUGCCGAGUUCACAAGGAUUGGGAGUUGCUAUGCACGCUUAGCUUUGCUUUAGGGCUUUCACACUGGCUUGAGAAUUACAAGGCUGCAGCCCGCUUACAGCACUGGCAUCCCUGGCUUUGCCGCAUGUGUACGCAGCUUGCGGCGUACAAUUAAUGAGUUACGGCGUCCUCACUCUGGGUAUCAACGUCUCCUGAUGAUUCAAGAAACAACGACUGUAUUGUAGCAUGGAGAGGGGGACUUGUGGUAGGCGACACGGGGCGCUGCGGAAGAUCACGGGAUGUGACGUCCUGACGAGGCAGGGCUAAGACAGGAAAAGACAGUGCGAGCGCGUAUAUAAAGAAUUGUAACGACGCAAUAAACGCCAUUUGCCGCAUCCUC
Long non-coding RNA from Rhea pennata, 771 nucleotides. RefSeq lists it as uncharacterized. The record is from RefSeq and is a predicted model, not a curated record. Lineage: Eukaryota; Metazoa; Chordata; Aves; Rheiformes; Rheidae. The transcript is spliced from 2 exons.